AUUGAACGCUGGCGGAAUGCUUUACACAUGCAAGUCGAACGGCAGCACGGACUUCGGUCUGGUGGCGCGUGGCGAACGGGUGAGUAAUGUAUCGGAACGUGCCCAGGCGUGGGGGAUAACGUAGUGAAAAUUACGCUAAUAACGCAUACGAUCUAUGGAUGAAAGCGGGGGAUCGCAAGAACUCGCGCGAUUGGAGCGGCCGAUAUCAGAUUAGGUAGUUGGUGGGGUAAAGGCUCACCAAGCCAACGAUCUGUAGCUGGUCUGAGAGGACGACCAGCCACACUGUAACUGAGACACGGUCCAGACUCCUACGGGAGGCAGCAGUGUGGAAUUUUGGACAAUGGACGCAAGUCUGAUCCAGCCAUUCCGCGUGCAGGAUGAAGGCCCUCGGGUUGUAAACUGCUUUUGUACGGAACGAAAAGGUCUCUCUUAGUACGGGGGGCUCAUGACGGUACCGUAAGAAUAAGCACCGGCUAACUACGUGCCAGCCGCCGCGGUAA
Molecule: ribosomal RNA, 500 nt
Filed under: uncultured bacterium
Lineage: Bacteria
Description: partial 16S ribosomal RNA
Rfam family: Bacterial small subunit ribosomal RNA
Source: RNAcentral